UUUUUUUUUUUUUUUCUACUUGGAAUCUGAGCCACCUUGUCCCGCUUUUGCCCACAGCCUAGCAUGGAAGCAGCUGUUCACCAGAAAGCAUGCCUUCAACUAAUCGGAUUAGUCAAGGCGUUUAUUUUCUCACACCUGUUUUUCAUGGUAACUGAAGAGCUGAGUCCAGAAAUACACAGAGCCGUUCUGUUUGCAGAACACUGUGAAUGCCCUUCCAAGUCCCUGCUCAGUGGUCAGCCCAUAGAGCUCUCCAUUUGUCAGGUGGUGAGACUGACACCCAGGUGGCAAAGUAUGACCAGAUAGAUCCCUCUUCCUGUUCCUUCUGCAGCUCCAGGAGCAGGCUUGGCAUAGAGCUAACCAGGUACUGGGCUUUUAAAAGCAACUGACGUUAUGUUUCCAAGGUCCCUGUUGCAGGAGCAGAUCAUGAGAUUCUGGGUUCCAAAAUCUCAAGACUAUUAAGCCUAUAAUCCCAGCAUUUGUGAUGUUGAGGCAGGAGAAUUGCUGCAACUUUGAGGCUAGCCUGGGCUACAUAGCAGUUACCACCAGACCAGCACUGGUUACAUUGCAAGACUGUUUCAAGAAUAAGACAAAAAAAAAAAAAAAUUAAAAGGUUUGAACCUGGUGGUGCACAUCUGUAAUUCCAACACUUGGAAGGCAGAGGCAGGAAGAUCACGAGUUCAAGACCACCCUGUCUUAAAAUAAAAAUAAAAAGGCCAUCAUAAGCCACAUGGUAAAAUCCCGUGUUUUUGUUUUGUUUGGGGACAUGUGGCCUGAAAGUACUGUGUAGCUGAGGACAGCCAUGAGCUCCAGAUCUUCUGGCCUCUACCUCCUGAGUUCUGGGAUUACAGGCAUGUGCAACCAUACCUAGUUUGAAACUGCUUUAACCAAACAACAUAAAGCUUGUUUUAAAAUGUACCUUUGGAAUUCAAAAUGAGACAGAAUGGCCAUAUCUCCUCCCCCUCAGCCCUGGUCCGGGGGAAGAGUUUCCCAGAAAGUGAGAAAGCUGAAGAGACUUUUAUAAUGAAAGUCCAGACGUAAGAGACGCAGACAGCGCUGAGUCACUGGUUUCCUGGCAGAGUUGCUGGGAUGGAAGAGUUUACCUGUUACUGGAAACCCGAGUUCUCUAGGUUUGCUAUUUCAGUGUGUGUAGCUGCAGCAGCACAGAGCUCAGACCAGCCCUGCGUUGAAAAUUCAGCUAAGCCUGCAUGGAGGGCUAAGGGGUUGAUGGAGCCUUACUGCCAUAUGAGACAAAAAAUAAAUAAAUAAAUAGAAGGAAAGUCAACUCUCACUCAGCAACCAGUGAUCACUAUUCAGGAUUCUAGACUGCUGAGAAGCUUCAAGCUUAAAUUACUGUUUCUUCUCUUUUCUUUGAGAUAUUACAGACACCUUAUAGCAUCCUUGCCCCAGACAGAAGAAGCCACCUUUUUUCUGAACCCAUGUAUUAUUUUCUCCCAAGAUUUUAUGCUUUUAUGCUUUGGAUAUGACUCGUGGUUUGGGAUCCUGGGUUGCAUGCCUCUGAGGGCACUGACAUACUUUGUUCUUAUGCCCCCAAACAGUUGCAUUAAGUCUAAUACAUUCCUCACACCUAUGGCGCCCCAAGGGGUAAAUGGUGGCUAAACAGUUAGUCUACCCAUGAAGGAAAAGAAGCCAGGAGUCCUUCCUCCCCUUGAUCUUAGCCAGAAGGCCAAGAAACAGUCAGGAGUCCUUUCUUUAAGCAUGCAGAUAGAUGUCUUAGUGUCUGCACAUUUCCCUUUUACAUCAGCUGGUCCAAGCUCAAGGCGCGUUGGUGUCCAGCUACUCUCAAUACUGUCCAGGUAAAAGGACUAGAAUUACAGCAGGCAAACCUUUGUGCUCUUCAAGGCUCUAUGGGAAUCCCAGCAGCUCAGCCCUAUUUCUGGCUUUCCAGGGCUGCUGUGGACCUGGUAUCUCUGUGUCUUCUCUGUCCCUACACUGAGUAGGGUUUGGAUCUGUCUCUUUUCCGUGGAGUCAUCAAGUCUGUAAGCCCCUUGUGGGCAGGGAUCCGGCUCCUGGUUUGGCAAUCCUAGACCUCUGCAGGGUUCUGGGCUUUCUACCUUCUUCGAACUGGAGGAGCCACGCCCCCAGGAAGAAGCCACGCCCCAGGAAGAAGCCACCCAUUUCUGGUAUGGUUGCUGCAGCUGGUGUUGUGAAUCAGGCCGACGAGCAGCGCAUCCUCUUACCCGGCUAUUUCACGACACCAGGGUUGCACCCUACCCAUCCUCUCCAGGCAAGCGCCGUGGGACCACAGGACACAGGAACUUGGGGACAGGGUGGGUUGGGACAACUGACUGUGAAAGGUGAUGUUCAGUAGUCCAUAGCCUCCCUAUCAUACCUCACCUCAUAGUCACCUGGGAAGCUUUAGACAGAUGCCAGGGUCUGCCCUCCCCUUGCUCAGCCCAAGCCCACAAAGGCUCUGAGGUGUGAUCUCAGAGCCAGCGAUCCUGAGAGGUUCUAAUCCACGUGCAGCGAGGAGGAAGCAGGCGAGCCCAGGGCUCAGAGUUGAACUGCUCCCCUGUGCUUGGCUGACCGUGCAGUGGCAUCUGCCGGCCCUCCCCAGUCCCACUCCUUUAGAUUUGAUGUACACCACCCAACUGCUGCUCCUGGUACCAAAACACCCAGGGCAAAAGCAGCUCCUCUUCCUGGCAUCCAAAGCCCUUCCUGUCAAGGAUUCCUACUCAGAGACAUCUCUGUCCAUGGAGCUCUCCCACCCCACCCUCCAAAAAGAAAAAAAACUGACUUCAUACACAAUGCUAAUGCUAUCAUCUCUGUCUUCAGGACACGAUACCCCAUUGCCACUUGUAAAUAGCUCUAUGAGCCCCCGGGUUCCUUUUUUCACAUGCACACCCUGCCUGCCUGGUCCUAACACACAGGCCUUCCUGCUCCGUUGGAAGCCCAAGCCACCUUUUGUCCAGGGCCUUUGCUCUUCCUGCCUACCUCCCCCACCCCAUCCCCCACCCCCUUUGCAGUUCCUGCUCACAUAUGGGUGGCCAAGCUCAAGAUUUGCAUCCUCAGAGAGACCUAAGAAAAGCUUUAUUUUCUUCAUAGCACGUAUCACUACGUGUAUUUUGGUGAUUGCUUGUCUGUGCAUUGCUGCCUGUCUCGCCCUCUAGAAUGUGAGCCCCCAGAGGACAGGGAUUUGUUUUGGGGAGGGUGGGGGGUUGCUCAGCACAGAAAAUCAUAUGUGUUAUUACCUAAUGAUCGAGGUGGAAUGGAUAGAUGACCCCUUCAGCCUGCUAUCCCACCAAUUCUCUGUCACCAGCCAACCCACCUCUUCCUCUGUCCCUGCCCACCUUUUCCCUCAGCCCCCAUCUCCUGUGAGGUCCCUUUCUCUGCUGGUGCUUCAUGCUCUAAGCUUCCAGGCUCAGAACCUGGUCUAUAUGAGAAACUUUUUGGAGGGGCCUCUGUGGCCAAGAAGAUGGCAGGACUACUGUUGGGUAGCUAUGAUGUGCCCUCCUGUCCUUGUGGCUCAGCCAGAGGAUAUUGUUUCUGAUCUGAGUCUGUCUGGUCCUUGGCUGGCCUUGGUACAGUGUGGCUCCCACCUUGCUGUUGUGGUGGGGAGACUUGCUCAGAGACACCCCUAAAACAAACAGAAUGGAAACUCCUUGAGGUUCAAUUCCAGGACUACUCAGAGUAGGGGUCCUAUGUCCUCUCAGAAGCUGGAUUCAGGAUGUAUGCCAUUCCAUUUUCAGGGCAGUCAUUUUCAGGGUCUGUGCUUUGGCACAAGGUGUCAAACAGUCACCAACUGUCCUACUGAUAAGCCCCUUAAGGGACCCAGCCUAAACCUCUUUCUACUCCAGAGAGUGCAGUGGGGCAGCAGGUUUGGGGAAGCAGCCCUACAUCCCUUGCAGCUAACAUGAGUGCUUUGCAGAAAGGAAGAACUUAUGUGCCAAGGUCAUUCAGCAAUUUCAUAGCCUCUUACUCCUGGCUGAAAACCAGCCCUGGCCUCUUCUAUCCCAAGAUCUUUAUCAGGAAUUUUCCGUAGCUGCCAGGGCACAGUGUGUUGGAAUGGUGUGGGGAUGCUGGGGAGCUGUGAUUUUUGCCAGGUAGCUGGCGAUUUAAAACUCAGAAGAUAAGAUCUACCCCAAGGGCCAUGGACCUGCUGGGGGGUGGCGUGGGGGAGGCUUUACAAAUCUCACCAUCCCUGCCAAGGUAGAAAACUGGCCCGGAGGAGUCCUUGGCCCCUGAGUCCUUACUUCAAGCCUUCAGCCCUGCUGGAAGCUGGCAGAGGAAAGAAGUGUUUAUGUCUUCCUCUGCCCGCCACUUAAUGUCCAAUAGAGGCAGGAUCUGUGCCAUGGGAAUCCCCAAAGACCCCUUGUAAGCUCGUCUCCACCUGGCUUAGCUCUCCUUGGUUCUAGUCUCCAUUCAUUCCCUGUACAACCAACAAGCACUUAUUGAGCCCGUGUCUGAAACUCUGGUUGGUUGAGAUAGUCGCUGAACAAUCUAUUGUGCGAGGCCCCUGCCUCUGUGGCUGACUUCCUUUCCAAGAAAUUGGAGGGAACACUGCCCCUCCAUGAAAGGGAGCACUGAGGUCUGAGAGCAUCUCCAUGCUAGUAGGGUGACUCUGGGACGGUCUCUAACUGGUCUCAACACCGUCUUCCUAGCUAGACACAUUUGCCCUGGUCUCUCUAGCCCAGAGUACCAGGGGCCAGCUGGGUCUCUUGAAAGCACCCACCAGAGUGCAAUUUCCUGUUGGAGGUAGCAGGGCCUGGAUGCCUUGGGGCAGGUCCUCUAGGGGAUAUGGGUAGACUCUGAGAAGUAGGGCCUGGAGUGCUUUCCUCUAGUUUCCUCUGGAAGAUACUGGAGCCUGAGCCUGAACAGAGUCCCACCAUGAGUAGACAGCAGCCCUCUGACCUUCACCCACCCUAGGUCUCCAUAGGAACAAAGCAGGUAAAAGGCCUCCUCCAGGAAGCCUUCCCUGGUUGUCCACAACACCUUGACCCUUCUCCAGUGGUCCACUCCUCCAGCUGUCUGCUGACCUCCCAGCUGGUCUGGUCUGUUGUAGCUGUAGCUUCCCAUGAGCCCUUGCUCCACCAUGGCUUCUCUGAGUCCCUGGGCUCCUGCUGCCACACAGCAUGGGGUGCUGGCUGGUCUGUUGGACAGUGACAAGAGUCCUCAGAUCUUAUUUUAAAUUCCAUAAACUUAUUUUAAAUUUCAUUAAAAAAAAAUCUUGUGCCACAUGUGGUGGCACACGCCUUUAAUCCCAGUACUUGGGAGACAGAGGCAGAAGGAUCUCUGUGAGUUCGAAGCCAGCCUGGUCUACAAAGUGAAUUAGAGGCCAGCCAGGACUAUUACUGUCUGGAAAAAAAAAAUCUUGCAAGUUAAUAAUAAUAUUCAAACAAAAUUUAACCAUACCCAAGGUCAGUACAACUUAGUGAACUUCUAUACAGUUAGAAUUGGCAUAGAAACAGAAGCUAUAGAGCUUCAUGUUAAAUUUUACACCUUUAGUGUCAAAUGUAUUUUUUGCAAUUGUCCACCAUCCAAAUCAAAAAAUAAAAAACUGUGACGGAGUUAGAACUAGGAAUACAUCAGCUUUUUGUCCCCUUUCUGUGUCCUGCUCUUUGUGCCAUCCUUCCUCAUUCCUUUAUAUUCAGCCUUUCUUAUGCUCUUUCUUCAUGUUAUACUGUACCCACGGGUACUUUUGUUUUUAUGCAUACAUAUAUUUUUGGCUAGAUUCCACAGGAGGGAGAGUGUGUGGUUUAUUUCUGAAGUUGUAUGAUCUCACCUAAUAUUCAUACUGAGACUGUCCAUUUUCCCGAAAACAUUUUAACUUGAUAGCCAAGUAGCAUGCAUAUAUAUAAUUUAUACUUAUAUAACUUAUGUAUACAUGGUUUAUACAUAUACAUAGUUUUUUUUACCCAUUCAUUUGUUGAUUGUCAAGGUCGAUUCCAAAUCUUUGUUAUAGUCAAUAAAGCAGCAAGAAGCAUG
This 5943-nucleotide long non-coding RNA is filed under the name Mus musculus (house mouse). The record is from RNAcentral. Lineage: Eukaryota; Metazoa; Chordata; Mammalia; Rodentia; Muridae.